UACGUAGGGUGCGAGCGUUGUCCGGAAUUAUUGGGCGUAAAGGGCUCGUAGGCGGUUUGUCGCGUCGGGAGUGAAAACCAUGGGCUUAACUCAUGGCUUGCUUCCGAUACGGGCAGACUAGAGGCAUGCAGGGGAGAACGGAAUUCCUGGUGUAGCGGUGAAAUGACGCAGAUAUCAGGAGGAACACCGGUGGCGAAGGCGGUCUCUGGGCCUUACCUGACGCUCAGGUGCGAAAGCUAGGGGAGCGAACAGG
RNAcentral lists this ribosomal RNA (253 nucleotides) under uncultured bacterium. RNAcentral describes it as "partial 16S ribosomal RNA". It matches the Rfam family "Bacterial small subunit ribosomal RNA", at positions 524 to 776 of the family's 1533-position model. The record is from RNAcentral.